This is a long non-coding RNA of Hyaena hyaena (striped hyena), 832 nucleotides long. RefSeq lists it as uncharacterized. The record is from RefSeq and is a predicted model, not a curated record. The transcript is spliced from 3 exons. NCBI's taxonomy places the organism in Eukaryota, Metazoa, Chordata, Mammalia, Carnivora, Hyaenidae.
UGAGCCUUUUGGGACAGUGCCAGCUCUGAGCCAUCUGUAGUACCACCUUGUCAUUGUUGACAUUCUGCGCCUGUGUGCUGGCCUGCUCCCCAGGACCAUCUGAAGCCAAUGUCAGUCACAUCCUUCUGCUGCAGCCCCAGGGAUGAGGGCUCAGGGGCUCAGGGCUGCAGCGGGUGCUGUUGCUGAUAGCCUGGGCAACGCUCCCUUUCAUCCUCUCUUGGGAGAGUACUCAAGCAGGCAGGUAGACCGAAGAGAAGGAGGUCAUAUGCCCACAGAAGUAGAGAUUGGGGUGAUGUGGCCACAAAGCAAGAAAUAGCAGCAGCCAGUGGACUUUACCCCAGAGCCUCUAGAGAGAGUUCAGCCCAGCCAACACCUUGAUUUUGGUCUAGUGAAAAUGACUUCAAAUUUCUGGCCUCCAGAAUGGUCCACAGUCUGAUGGGCAUAUCGUUUCCAGGACAAGCUGCCCUUGUCCGGGUCUGAACACUCACACAUAUUACUCAGAACCCUUAUGUAUCUAUUUGACAAUGACACACCUACAGCUCUGGGUCAGGGUAUUCCAAAGCAGCUACCUCCCUCAGCUGGACAAGUCCUACAAGUCAGGCUCUGAGGCUCAGGGGAGGAUGUUGUAACAGCUCUAGCAGGAUUUUCACAUCAGAGGGUGGUCUGUGUUCUGGAGCAGUUGGUGUCCAACACACCAUGGGCUUGAGCAUGUGGGUUCAGAAUCAUAAGAGAAUCACCCAGAGGAUGUUUCUGAGCACUGACUGAUGCCUGACCUGGAAACAGGUUGUUUGCUUCAUGGAUUUAGUCUCCACCACAAACCAAGAUUAGUAGU